RNAcentral lists this ribosomal RNA (2890 nucleotides) under Pseudomonas fluorescens BS2. RNAcentral describes it as "bacterial LSU rRNA". It matches the Rfam family "Bacterial large subunit ribosomal RNA". Lineage: Bacteria; Pseudomonadati; Pseudomonadota; Gammaproteobacteria; Pseudomonadales; Pseudomonadaceae. The record is from RNAcentral.
UCAAGUGAAGAAGCGCAUACGGUGGAUGCCUUGGCAGUCAGAGGCGAUGAAAGACGUGGUAGCCUGCGAAAAGCUUCGGGGAGUCGGCAAACAGACUUUGAUCCGGAGAUGUCUGAAUGGGGGAACCCAGCCAUCAUAAGAUGGUUAUCUUGUACUGAAUACAUAGGUGCAAGAGGCGAACCAGGGGAACUGAAACAUCUAAGUACCCUGAGGAAAAGAAAUCAACCGAGAUUCCCUUAGUAGUGGCGAGCGAACGGGGACUAGCCCUUAAGUGGCUUUGAGAUUAGCGGAACGCUCUGGAAAGUGCGGCCAUAGUGGGUGAUAGCCCUGUACGCGAAAAUCUCUUAGUCAUGAAAUCGAGUAGGACGGAGCACGAGAAACUUUGUCUGAAUAUGGGGGGACCAUCCUCCAAGGCUAAAUACUACUGACUGACCGAUAGUGAACUAGUACCGUGAGGGAAAGGCGAAAAGAACCCCGGAGAGGGGAGUGAAAUAGAUCCUGAAACCGUAUGCGUACAAGCAGUGGGAGCCCACUUUGUUGGGUGACUGCGUACCUUUUGUAUAAUGGGUCAGCGACUUAUUUUCAGUGGCGAGCUUAACCGAAUAGGGGAGGCGUAGCGAAAGCGAGUCUUAAUAGGGCGUCUAGUCGCUGGGAAUAGACCCGAAACCGGGCGAUCUAUCCAUGGGCAGGUUGAAGGUUGGGUAACACUAACUGGAGGACCGAACCGACUACCGUUGAAAAGUUAGCGGAUGACCUGUGGAUCGGAGUGAAAGGCUAAUCAAGCUCGGAGAUAGCUGGUUCUCCUCGAAAGCUAUUUAGGUAGCGCCUCAUGUAUCACUGUAGGGGGUAGAGCACUGUUUCGGCUAGGGGGUCAUCCCGACUUACCAAACCGAUGCAAACUCCGAAUACCUACAAGUGCCGAGCAUGGGAGACACACGGCGGGUGCUAACGUCCGUCGUGAAAAGGGAAACAACCCAGACCGUCAGCUAAGGUCCCAAAGUUAUGGUUAAGUGGGAAACGAUGUGGGAAGGCUUAGACAGCUAGGAGGUUGGCUUAGAAGCAGCCACCCUUUAAAGAAAGCGUAAUAGCUCACUAGUCGAGUCGGCCUGCGCGGAAGAUGUAACGGGGCUCAAACCAUACACCGAAGCUACGGGUAUCACGUAAGUGAUGCGGUAGAGGAGCGUUCUGUAAGCCUGUGAAGGUGAGUUGAGAAGCUUGCUGGAGGUAUCAGAAGUGCGAAUGCUGACAUGAGUAACGACAAUGGGUGUGAAAAACACCCACGCCGAAAGACCAAGGUUUCCUGCGCAACGUUAAUCGACGCAGGGUUAGUCGGUCCCUAAGGCGAGGCUGAAAAGCGUAGUCGAUGGAAAACAGGUUAAUAUUCCUGUACUUCUGGUUAUUGCGAUGGAGGGACGGAGAAGGCUAGGCCAGCUUGGCGUUGGUUGUCCAAGUUUAAGGUGGUAGGCUGGAAUCUUAGGUAAAUCCGGGAUUCUAAGGCCGAGAGCUGAUGACGAGCUAACUUUUAGUUAGCGAAGUGGUUGAUGCCAUGCUUCCAAGAAAAGCUUCUAAGCUUCAGGUAACCAGGAACCGUACCCCAAACCGACACAGGUGGUUGGGUAGAGAAUACCAAGGCGCUUGAGAGAACUCGGGUGAAGGAACUAGGCAAAAUGGCACCGUAACUUCGGGAGAAGGUGCGCCGGUGAGGGUGAAGGACUUGCUCCGUAAGCCCAUGCCGGUCGAAGAUACCAGGCCGCUGCGACUGUUUAUUAAAAACACAGCACUCUGCAAACACGAAAGUGGACGUAUAGGGUGUGACGCCUGCCCGGUGCCGGAAGGUUAAUUGAUGGGGUUAGCUAACGCGAAGCUCUUGAUCGAAGCCCCGGUAAACGGCGGCCGUAACUAUAACGGUCCUAAGGUAGCGAAAUUCCUUGUCGGGUAAGUUCCGACCUGCACGAAUGGCGUAACGAUGGCGGCGCUGUCUCCACCCGAGACUCAGUGAAAUUGAAAUCGCUGUGAAGAUGCAGUGUAUCCGCGGCUAGACGGAAAGACCCCGUGAACCUUUACUAUAGCUUUGCACUGGACUUUGAAUUUGCUUGUGUAGGAUAGGUGGGAGGCUUUGAAGCGUGGACGCCAGUCUGCGUGGAGCCAACCUUGAAAUACCACCCUGGCAACUUUGAGGUUCUAACUCAGGUCCGUUAUCCGGAUCGAGGACAGUGUAUGGUGGGUAGUUUGACUGGGGCGGUCUCCUCCUAAAGAGUAACGGAGGAGUACGAAGGUGCGCUCAGACCGGUCGGAAAUCGGUCGUAGAGUAUAAAGGCAAAAGCGCGCUUGACUGCGAGACAGACACGUCGAGCAGGUACGAAAGUAGGUCUUAGUGAUCCGGUGGUUCUGUAUGGAAGGGCCAUCGCUCAACGGAUAAAAGGUACUCCGGGGAUAACAGGCUGAUACCGCCCAAGAGUUCAUAUCGACGGCGGUGUUUGGCACCUCGAUGUCGGCUCAUCACAUCCUGGGGCUGAAGCCGGUCCCAAGGGUAUGGCUGUUCGCCAUUUAAAGUGGUACGCGAGCUGGGUUUAGAACGUCGUGAGACAGUUCGGUCCCUAUCUGCCGUGGACGUUUGAGAUUUGAGAGGGGCUGCUCCUAGUACGAGAGGACCGGAGUGGACGAACCUCUGGUGUUCCGGUUGUCACGCCAGUGGCAUUGCCGGGUAGCUAUGUUCGGAAUAGAUAACCGCUGAAAGCAUCUAAGCGGGAAACUAGCCUCAAGAUGAGAUCUCACUGGAACCUUGAGUUCCCUGAAGGGCCGUCGAAGACUACGACGUUGAUAGGUUGGGUGUGUAAGCGCUGUGAGGCGUUGAGCUAACCAAUACUAAUUGCCCGUGAGGCUUGACCAU